GGCCCAUUAGCUCAGUUGGUUAGAGCGCCGUGCUAAUAACGCGGAGGUCCUGGGUUCGAUCCCCAUAUGGGCCA
Molecule: transfer RNA, 74 nt
Filed under: Pomacea canaliculata
Lineage: Eukaryota; Metazoa; Mollusca; Gastropoda; Architaenioglossa; Ampullariidae
Description: tRNA-Ile
Rfam family: tRNA
About the family: Transfer RNA (tRNA) molecules are approximately 80 nucleotides in length. Their secondary structure includes four short double-helical elements and three loops (D, anti-codon, and T loops).
Source: Rfam by way of RNAcentral